UGGGGAAUUUUGGACAAUGGGCGAAAGCCUGAUCCAGCAAUGCCGCGUGUGUGAAGAAGGCCUUCGGGUUGUAAAGCACUUUUGUCCGGAAAGAAAUCCUUGGCUCUAAUACAGUCGGGGGAUGACGGUACCGGAAGAAUAAGCACCGGCUAACUACGUGCCAGCAGCCGCGGUAAUACGUAGGGUGCAAGCGUUAAUCGGAAUUACUGGGCGUAAAGCGUGCGCAGGCGGUUUGCUAAGACCGAUGUGAAAUCCCCGGGCUCAACCUGGGAACUGCAUUGGCGACUGGCAGGCUAGAGUAUGGCAGAGGGGGGUAGAAUUCCACGUGUAGCAGUGAAAUGCGUAGAGAUGUGGAGGAAUACCGAUGGCGAAGGCAGCCCCCUGGGCCAAUACUGACGCUCAUGCACGAAAGCGUGGGGAGCAAACAGGAUUAGAUACCCUGGUAGUCCACGCCCUAAACGAUGUCAACUAGUUGUUGGGGAUUCAUUUCCUUAGUAACGUAGCUAACGCGUGAAGUUGACCGCCUGGGGAGUACGGUCGCAAGAUUAAAACUCAAAGGAAUUGACGGGGUCAUAGCUGUUUCCU
Molecule: ribosomal RNA, 585 nt
Filed under: uncultured bacterium
Lineage: Bacteria
Description: partial 16S ribosomal RNA
Rfam family: Bacterial small subunit ribosomal RNA
Source: RNAcentral